Molecule: ribosomal RNA, 800 nt
Filed under: uncultured Verrucomicrobiae bacterium
Lineage: Bacteria; Pseudomonadati; Verrucomicrobiota; Verrucomicrobiia
Description: bacterial SSU rRNA
Rfam family: Bacterial small subunit ribosomal RNA
Source: RNAcentral
AGGGGUUUGAUCAUGGGCUCAGAACGAACGCUGGCAGCGUGGAUUAGGCAUGCAAGUCGAACGGGAAAUUCCGGUUUCAAUCUUUCGAGAGAGAGACCGGAAUGGAGAGUGGCGUAAGGGUGAGUAACGCGUGGGUAACCUACCUCUAAGUUGGGGACAACCCUUCGAAAGAGAGGCUAAUACCGAAUGUGGUCAUACGGCAUAGGCUGUUAUGAUCAAAGAUGGGGAUCCUUCGGGACCUGUUGCUUGGAGAGGGGCCCGCGUGCCAUCAGCUUGUUGGUAGGGUAACGGCCUACCAAGGCUUACGGCUAGCUGGUCUGAGAGGAUGAUCAGCCACACUGGGACUGAGACACUGCCCAGACUCCUACGGGAGGCUGCAGUCGAGGAUCAUUCGCAAUGCGCGAAAGCGUGACGAUGCGACGCUGCGUGGAGGAUGACGGCCCUAGGGUUGUAAACUCCUGUCAUUCGGGAAAAACGACUUUUGGAUUAAUACCCCAGGAGAGUGAUGGUACCGGAAGAGGAAGCCACGGCUAACUCUGUGCCAGCAGCCGCGGUAAUACAGAGGUGGCAAGCGUUGUUCGGAUUUACUGGGCGUAAAGGGUGCGUAGGUGGCUCUGUGUGUCGGGUGUGAAAUCCCGCGGCUCAACCGCGGAACUGCAUUCGAAACUGCAGGGCUAGAGUGCAGGANGGGAGAGCGGAAUUCUUGGUGUAGCGGUGAAAUGCGUUGAUAUCAAGAAGAACACCGGUGGCGAAGGCGGCUCUCUGGAAUGCUACUGACACUGAGGCACGAAAGCUGGGGG